RNAcentral lists this ribosomal RNA (482 nucleotides) under uncultured bacterium. RNAcentral describes it as "partial 16S ribosomal RNA". It matches the Rfam family "Bacterial small subunit ribosomal RNA", at positions 28 to 507 of the family's 1533-position model. The record is from RNAcentral.
GAUGAACGCUAGCGGCAGGCCUAAUACAUGCAAGUCGGACGGGAUUCAGGAGCUUGCUUCUGAUGAGAGUGGCGCACGGGUGCGUAACACGUAUGUAACCUACCUUUAUCAGGGGGAUAGCCUCUCGAAAGAGAGAUUAAGCCCGCAUAAAAUCACAGCACAGCAUUGUGUAAUGAUCAAAUAUUUAUAGGAUAAAGAUGGGCAUGCGGAACAUUAGCUAGAUGGCGGGGUAACGGCCCACCAUGGCGACGAUGUUUAGGGGAUCUGAGAGGAUGGCCCCCCACACUGGUACUGAGACACGGACCAGACUCCUACGGGAGGCAGCAGUAAGGAAUAUUGGUCAAUGGGCGGAAGCCUGAACCAGCCAUGCCGCGUGCAGGAAGACGGCCCUACGGGUUGUAAACUGCUUUUAUACGGGAAUAAACCCGGAUACGUGUAUCUGGCUGAAUGUACUGUAAGAAUAAGGAUCGGCUAACUCCGUG